This 497-nucleotide ribosomal RNA is filed under the name uncultured bacterium. Its description in RNAcentral is "partial 16S ribosomal RNA". It matches the Rfam family "Bacterial small subunit ribosomal RNA", at positions 28 to 507 of the family's 1533-position model. The record is from RNAcentral.
GAUGAACGCUGGCGGCGUGCCUAAUACAUGCAAGUCGAGCGAACAGACGAGGAUCUUCCUCCUCUGACGUUUGCGGCGGGCGGGUGAGUAACCCGUUGAGUACCUCCCUAUAAGCCUGGGAUAAAUUCGGGAAACCGGAGCUAAUACCGGAUAACAUGUUGAACCGCAUGAUACAACCAUAAACGACGGUUUUGCUGUCACUUGUGGAUUAAUCCGCGUUUCAUUCGCGAGUUCGUAAGGUAACGGUGUACCAAGGCAACGAUGGCUAACAGACCUGAGAGGGAGAUAGCCGAAACUGGAACUGAGACGCGGACCAGACUCCUACGGGAGGCAGCAGUAGCGAAUCUUCCGCAAUGGGCGAAAGCCUGACGGAGCAACGCCGCGUGAGUGAAGAAGGUCUUCGGAUCGUAAAACUCUGUUAGUCGGGAAGAACAAAUGUGUAAGUAACUAUGCACGUAUUGACGGUACUAAAUCAGAAAGCCCCGGCUAACUACGUG